This 376-nucleotide ribosomal RNA is filed under the name uncultured bacterium. RNAcentral's name for it is "bacterial SSU rRNA". It matches the Rfam family "Bacterial small subunit ribosomal RNA", at positions 523 to 898 of the family's 1533-position model. The record is from RNAcentral.
AUACGUAGGGGGCGAGCGUUGUCCGGAAUGACUGGGCGUAAAGGGUGUGUAGGCGGAUCGGCAAGUCGGAUGUGUAAUACCCAGGGCUUAACCCGGGUGCUGCAUCCGAAACUAUCGGUCUUGAGUGUCGGAGAGGUAAGUGGAAUUCCUAGUGUAGCGGUGGAAUGCGUAGGUAUUAGGAGGAACAUCAGAGGCGAAGGCGACUUACUGGCCGACAACUGACGCUGAGGCACGAAAGCGUGGGGAGCAAACAGGAUUAGAUACCCUGGUAGUCCACGCUGUAAACGAUGAGUAUUAGGUGUAGGGGACGAUAGUCCUCUGUGCCGGAGCAAACGCAAUAAAUACUCCGCCUGGGGAGUACGGUCACAAGACUAAA